GGGGGAGGGGAGAAAAUAUAAGGAAAAUGGAUCAAAGGACCCACAACACUGUUUCUUGAAAUGUGGGUCCCACAACCCCACUUUCCUUUCAUUUUCUCUCACCUACCACUUUCCACCCUCUCCCAAACAAAGUGUAAAUAAUUACCGACUUUCAGGACCUUUUAUUAAAUACAAGGACUAACAAAAAACCUUAUAAUCUUAUAUUUUCAAAGCAGACCAAUAACAAUUUGAUCAUUUCACAAUAUAAGUAAUAUAAGUCGCAUGUACAAGAAAUCUGAUAAAACUUACGCAAGAUCCCCUCCUAUAAGA
This 309-nucleotide unclassified non-coding RNA is filed under the name Hevea brasiliensis (rubber tree). The record is from RNAcentral. Lineage: Eukaryota; Viridiplantae; Streptophyta; Magnoliopsida; Malpighiales; Euphorbiaceae.